RNAcentral lists this ribosomal RNA (53 nucleotides) under Harperocallis schomburgkiana. Its description in RNAcentral is "partial 5.8 ribosomal RNA". The record is from RNAcentral. Lineage: Eukaryota; Viridiplantae; Streptophyta; Magnoliopsida; Alismatales; Tofieldiaceae.
CAAGUUGCGCCCGAGGCCAUUAGGCUGAGGGCACGCCUGCCUGGGCGUCACGC